CUCUGGUGGUUUUCCACGGGCAAUGUAUCUAGCGCAACACGUUAGCUGGAGCUGUUGCAUAGGUACAUUGGUCAGUGGGAGC
RNAcentral lists this microRNA precursor (82 nucleotides) under Branchiostoma belcheri (Belcher's lancelet). RNAcentral describes it as "microRNA bbe-mir-2061 precursor". It matches the Rfam family "mir-2061 microRNA precursor family". The record is from miRBase by way of RNAcentral. Lineage: Eukaryota; Metazoa; Chordata; Leptocardii; Amphioxiformes; Branchiostomatidae.